UACGUAGGGUGCGAGCGUUGUCCGGAAUUACUGGGCGUAAAGAGCUCGUAGGUGGUUUGUCGCGUUGUUCGUGAAAACUCACAGCUCAACUGUGGGCGUGCGGGCGAUACGGGCAGACUGGAGUACUGCAGGGGAGACUGGAAUUCCUGGUGUAGCGGUGGAAUGCGCAGGAUAUCAGGAGGAACACCGGUGGCGAAGGCGGGUCUCUGGGCAGUAACUGACGCUGAGGAGCGAAAGCGUGGGGAGCGAACAGG
Molecule: ribosomal RNA, 254 nt
Filed under: uncultured bacterium
Lineage: Bacteria
Description: partial 16S ribosomal RNA
Rfam family: Bacterial small subunit ribosomal RNA
Source: RNAcentral